Molecule: ribosomal RNA, 492 nt
Filed under: uncultured bacterium
Lineage: Bacteria
Description: partial 16S ribosomal RNA
Rfam family: Bacterial small subunit ribosomal RNA
Source: RNAcentral
AGUGAACGCUGGCGGUAGGCCUAACACAUGCAAGUCGAACGGCAGCACAGUAAGAGCUUGCUCUUACGGGUGGCGAGUGGCGGACGGGUGAGGAAUACAUCGGAAUCUACUUUUUCGUGGGGGAUAACGUAGGGAAACUUACGCUAAUACCGCAUACGACCUACGGGUGAAAGCAGGGGAUCUUCGGACCUUGCGCGAUUGAAUGAGCCGAUGUCGGAUUAGCUGGUUGGCGGGGUAAAGGCCCACCAAGGCGACGAUCCGUAGCUGGUCUGAGAGGAUGAUCAGCCACACUGGAACUGAGACGCGGUCCAGACUCCUACGGGAGGCAGCAGUGGGGAAUAUUGGACAAUGGGCGCAAGCCUGAUCCAGCCAUACCGCGUGGGUGAAGAAGGCCUUCGGGUUGUAAAGCCCUUUUGUUGGGAAAGAAAAGCAGCAGGUUAAUACCCCGCUGUUCUGACGGUACCCAAAGAAUAAGCACCGGCUAACUUCGUG